This 815-nucleotide ribosomal RNA is filed under the name uncultured bacterium. Its description in RNAcentral is "bacterial SSU rRNA". It matches the Rfam family "Bacterial small subunit ribosomal RNA", at positions 62 to 840 of the family's 1533-position model. The record is from RNAcentral.
UCGAACGAGUUCUCGUUGAUGAUCGGUGCUUGCACCGAGAUUCAACAUGGAACGAGUGGCGGACGGGUGAGUAACACGUGGGUAACCUGCCCUUAAGUGGGGGAUAACAUUUGGAAACAGAUGCUAAUACCGCAUAGAUCCAAGAACCGCAUGGUUCUUGGCUGAAAGAUGGCGUAAGCUAUCGCUUUUGGAUGGACCCGCGGCGUAUUAGCUAGUUGGUGAGGUAAUGGCUCACCAAGGCGAUGAUACGUAGCCGAACUGAGAGGUUGAUCGGCCACAUUGGGACUGAGACACGGCCCAAACUCCUACGGGAGGCAGCAGUAGGGAAUCUUCCACAAUGGACGCAAGUCUGAUGGAGCAACGCCGCGUGAGUGAAGAAGGCUUUCGGGUCGUAAAACUCUGUUGUUGGAGAAGAAUGGUCGGCAGAGUAACUGUUGUCGGCGUGACGGUAUCCAACCAGAAAGCCACGGCUGACUACGUGCCAGCAGCCGCGGUAAUACGUAGGUGGCAAGCGUUAUCCGGAUUUAUUGGGCGUAAAGCGAGCGCAGGCGGUUUUUUAAGUCUGAUGUGAAAGCCCUCGGCUUAACCGAGGAAGCGCAUCGGAAACUGGGAAACUUGAGUGCAGAAGAGGACAGUGGAACUCCAUGUGUAGCGGUGAAAUGCGUAGAUAUAUGGAAGAACACCAGUGGCGAAGGCGGCUGUCUGGUCUGUAACUGACGCUGAGGCUCGAAAGCAUGGGUAGCGAACAGGAUUAGAUACCCUGGUAGUCCAUGCCGUAAACGAUGAAUGCUAGGUGUUGGAGGGUUUCCGCCCUU